Molecule: ribosomal RNA, 407 nt
Filed under: uncultured bacterium
Lineage: Bacteria
Description: partial 16S ribosomal RNA
Rfam family: Bacterial small subunit ribosomal RNA
Source: RNAcentral
AUUGAACGCUGGCGGCAGGCCUAACACAUGCACGUCGAGCGGAGCGGCGGACGGGUGAGUAAUGCCUAGGAAUCUGCCUGGUAGUGGGGGAUAACGUCCGGAAACGGGCGCUAAUACCGCAUACUAUCAGAUGAGCCUAGGUCGGAUUAGCUAGUUGGUGGGGUAAAGGCCUACCAAGGCGACGAUCCGUAACUGGUUUGAGAGGAUGAUCAGUCACACGGGAACGGAGACACGGUGCAGAAUCCUACGGGAGUCAGCGGUGGGGAAUAUUGGACAAGGGGCGAAAGCGUGAACCAGCCAUGGCGCGUGUGUUAAGAAGGGCUUCGGAUUGUAAAGCACGUUAAGUUGGGAGGCGUUACCAACAGAAUAAGCACCGGCUAACUUCGUGCCAGCAGCCGCGGUAAUAC